This 2706-nucleotide long non-coding RNA is filed under the name Musa acuminata (dwarf banana). RNAcentral's name for it is "long non-coding RNA (MACU_LNC003257)". The record is from RNAcentral. Lineage: Eukaryota; Viridiplantae; Streptophyta; Magnoliopsida; Zingiberales; Musaceae.
UUUUUUUUUGUUUUAUUAUCAUUAUCAUCUCUUCUUUAAAAUGUAUAUUGAUGUAUUCCCUCAAAAAGAAGAUAAUAUAUUUUUAUGUAAAGUUGACAUUGGAAAUAGAAGUAUGCUGUGUAGGAGAUUUGACUCUGUAAAAGGGAAACAAAAAAGUUUUGAGGAUAAAUAUUUCUUAUAUAUUCCUUUGAAACAUUGACAACUGUAAUACAAUGAGGCAAAUAAACUCUACCUUUUCUAAUCAACAACUACAUAUUUAAGCUUCCUCUUGGAUUUAUGGACUGUAUUAUUCCCAAGAGGAAAAGGCUUCUGCAGUUGCUGCAUAGUCUCUGAUUUGAAGAAACUGGAACAAAGAUUUCCAACACAAGUUUCUUGAAGAUAAACCAAACCAAGCUUUAUACAUGUAGAACAAACAAGCUCAUCAAAUCAAUAUUAGUCAGUGAUAAUGAGUUAUGUUAACAUCUCUCAAUCUCUCUUUCUAGGGAUCUCUGUAGAGUUUUUGGUUGCAUACAUAGGAACGUUCUCUGAUUUGAAGAAACUGAAACAAAGAUUUCCAAAACAAGUUUCACGAAGAUAGACCAAACCAAUGGAUAACAAGUGACUAAAAUCUAGCUUUAAACAUGCAGAACAAGCAAUCUCAUGAAAUCAGCAUUAUGCAGUGAUGGAAGUGACGUUAACAUCCUUUAAUCUCUUUAUUGGGAUCUUUGUAGAGUCUUUGACUAUACAGACACAUAGACAGACAACAGUGAUAACAGGCAAUGUGGGGGGGGGUGUGAUGGGCAAGUGUUCAAGGUCUGUCCCUCACAAACAAAACCUUUUUCUUUCCUUCUCCUUAUCCAUUAUUCAAAGUUUAAAUGUGUUCUUCUGCCUGCAUAAUGAAAUCCACCACCAGGCUAAAAGGGUCCCUCACCCUCAGCCCAUAAAGCCAACUCAAUAUGGGUUGUGCCCGGGAAUCUGCAUCCGAAGAGAAAGACAAAAAUAUGUGCAUAUUUAUAUUGCUUUAAGGUUGGAAAUUUAUAGGCGGAUUUCGUAGCGGGCAGCAAAGCCUGGAUGGAGAGAGACCAAAAGCUAGUCUUUGACACUGCUGCAAUGAUGCUUGUAGUCCAUUGACCAAUGAUGCCAUGUCAAAAAAGCUCAAGAACUUGAGCUAGAAUGUCUCAUGGCUAUUAGAUCCCUAGAAUUCAUCAUCGCCUCUUUGCUUUAGUAAGCAAGUCUAUAUGAACCAGACAUGGUGCCAUCUUUAUCAUCUUCAUCCCUAUCCAACCUCCCUAUAAAUUCCCACAUCACUAGCCAAUUUGGUUGUGGAGCCCACAACAUGGUGGGUGCUCUCCACAUGGUGUUUGAGUGUGCCUAUCUUGUAUCAAAUUUAUCUCUCUACUUUGCUACAUAUAACUCUUUUAAAUAUGGGUGGAUAUAAAUUGAAUUCUAACUUUACACAUAUAUUCAUAGGUCUAAGGUUUAAAUUCUUAUUUAAUAAAACCUCAUUUAAUAAAUUAGAGAGGAUUGCAUAAUUUAAUUCUAUUUUGAUGUCAUAUUCAUGAGGAUAGAUAGUGUCAAUCGAUUAAACGAAGAAUAUAGAAAGAUAGAAGUCAUAGAAGAAACUAUGAAAUGUAUAAGAUGUAAAUGUCUAGUUCAUUUUGAUAGUGAGCUCUUGAUAGCUAUGAAAUGUCCUUUGGAGAAGGACUUGGUGUUCUCAGUCAAUCUGCAACACAAACCAUGGUUUAACUCUUUAUUUUUUGCUUGUGUCAUUUGAAAGAGAUGCAAAGAAUUCACGUCAUAUGUUCAUCCAUCACCCGUUUUAAGUGUGAUAAUAUUUGCUGAAUUCAACUUUUUGGCCUGAAACCAAAAUCUAGUUUACUUACUUUGAAGCAAAUCAAACUCAUAUGUUGACAUCAACCUUACUGCUAAUUAGACCUCUUACGGUCAACAGUAUACGAGCGAGGUGAGGGAGGGAUCACACACAACUCUCGGCCCUUAGCCGUCACGACUCUUGAUGCUGCAUCUAAGCAUCAAGAAGAACUCGUCGGUUUCAUCUGAUCUCUCCAAGGCCACGCCACGCAACGCAGUCGCCGCGCGCGGCAGGUGGAAGGGGAAGAGGCCGCCGAAGGCGGCUGCGCCUCCGCGGCUUCCCUAUCUUCCUCCGUGAUCGUGUCGAGGAUCCUCGUCACCUUGUACCUCACGAUGGACACGAACUGCGGCGGAGCAGCCUCCGUCACGUACCGGCCCACUGCCUGCGCUUUGGCCGCCAUCAUCUCGUCUUCUCCGUUCGCUCAGGCUCAGCUCAGGCGAGGCCACGUCUCCUGGAUGCUCGGAGGGAGGCAUUUAUAGAGCGCUGCAGCGACAGGGAAGGAAGGAAUCAAUGUGGGGAAGAUGCAGAGGGCAGGUUUGGAUGGCCGUGGGGGGAUGCGACUGUGGGCGUCCGCUCCCUGACGAGGGGAGGCGUCGUCUUCAUCGCCGGAUCCGACUUUUUGCAUUGAAUGCGCGGGGUUGGCGUUAUGCGAGCCAAAGCGCGGUGCGUGGGGUGGAUACGUGUUCUUCCGCGACGCGAUCUACUUGUGUUCGUGGUUUCUUGUGUUGUCUGCUGUCGCUUUCGCGUGCAUGAUGAUGCCGAAGAGGUAAUAAAGUGUUCGACGAAAUGCUUUCACCGAGUUGGUGUAAGAUGUAUAUUUUUUAGUACUACUAAAAUUAAGCAACCUCAAAGCAGAU